UCCCAGAGCCCCUCCCCAGCUCUCCAGCCUUUGCCCAGCCCUCGCCCUGACCCCGUUGUUUUCGCAGCUCCCGCUGUCCCCGUUCCGGCCCCUCCCUGCUCCAGGAGGCUCCCAGGGACGAUCCCGAGGCGCUGGAAAUUCCCAAAAUCCCGGGUCCUGUUCCACAUCCCCCGGAGCCGCCCCAGAGCUCCCCCCUGGGCCCCUCUCCGGGGUUCCCUGGGGGGUUCCAGCCCCGAAAUUCCGCGGCCCCGCAGCAGAGGGAGGAGGAGCCGGCGGCCGGGGCGCAGAGUGAAGGGUCAGAUUCCGUCAUUUUGCUGAAGGUCAAGGAUUCCAGGACUCCGGCUCCAAGGUGAGGGGUGGGGAAUGGGGAGAUUUGGGGGAUUUUUUAGGGACACAGGGAGGUGACAGCGAAGAGGGACAGGGUGAGAAUUUGGGAAAUGAGGGAAUUCUGGGGAAAUUUCAGGAUUUUUGGUCACUUCCAACCCUCCUUUCUCCCUCUUUCCAGCCUUCCCUUUUUCCAGGCCGAGCUAUGGAUCAAGGAGCUGACCAGCGUCUACGAUUCCCGAGCCAGAGAGAGGUGGAGGCAAAUCGAGGAGCAGAAAGCUCUGGCCCUGCAGCUCCAGAGCCAGGUGAGAAUUACAUGGAAAAAUGCACUGGCUUGGAAAAAAAAAAUUGGGGGAAAAAAGUGCAAGAACAAAAAAAAAAGCAGGUAAAAUCAAUUUUUAAAAAGCUUUUGUGCUUCCCAGUCAUGGGAGAAACAGCAAGGAAAAGAGGAAAUGUUGUCCCAGAUUGGAAAUCAUGCCAAAUUGGAAAUUUUGGUACUGGAAAGGUGGUUAUGGCUUGGAAAAGGGGUUAGAAUCCGUGGAAGUGGGGAAAAAAAUGAGAUGUGGCACUUGGGGACCAGGGUUGGGUGGCUCUGGAAGGGUUAAUUUCUGGAGAUUUUUCUGACUUUAUUGGUCCUAAAUCCUCCUUUUCCCCGAUCCCAAAUGCCUCUGUGAGGAGAAUCCCUGAUCCCGGCUCUCUCAUUCCCAAAUCCCUGAUCCUGGUUCUGUCAUUCCCAAAUCCCCACAAAUCCCCAGUCCCUGACCCCGGCUCUCUCAUUCCCAAAUCCCUGAUCCCAACUCUCUGAUCCCCUUUUCUUGACCCCGGCUCUCUCAUUCCCAAAUCCCCAUUCCCCAAUCCCAGCUCUCUCAUUCCCCAUUCCCACUCCCAGCUCUGGUCCCCUUCCCUGACCCAUCUCUCCCAUUCCCCAUUCCCACUCUCAGCUCUGGUCCUCACUCCCAGCUGACCCCGGCUCUCUCAUUCCCAAAUCCCCAUUCCCCAAUCCCAGCUCUCUCAUUCCCCAUUCCCACUUCCAGCUCUGGUCCCCUCCCCUGACCUGUCUCUCUCAUCCUCCAUUCCCAAUCCCAGCUCUCGUUCCCCACUCCCAGCUCCCAUUCCCCACUCCCAGCUCUCUCAUUCCCCAUCCCCACUCCCAUCCCCAUUCCCAUCCCAGCUCCCAUUCCCCAUUCCCCAUCCCCACUCCCAUUCCCACUCCCCACUCCCAUCUCUCCCACUCC
Long non-coding RNA from Ficedula albicollis (Collared flycatcher), 1559 nucleotides. Lineage: Eukaryota; Metazoa; Chordata; Aves; Passeriformes; Muscicapidae. The record is from Ensembl.